This is a long non-coding RNA of Oncorhynchus keta (chum salmon), 3248 nucleotides long. RefSeq lists it as uncharacterized. The record is from RefSeq and is a predicted model, not a curated record. The transcript is spliced from 2 exons. Lineage: Eukaryota; Metazoa; Chordata; Actinopteri; Salmoniformes; Salmonidae.
AGGGUAUAGUGGUGGAGGGGGGAACUUUAAGAAAACCAAAAGGGUUUGUCCAUAAUCCAUAAAUAGGCACAAGUCCGUAGCUCAUCGAAUAAAGCAAUGAUCAAAUCAAAUCAAAGUUUAUUUGUCAUGUGCGCCGAAUACAACAGGUGUAUUCACCUUACAGUGAAAUGCUUUCUUAUAGGCUCUAACCAAUAUUGCAAAAAAAGGUGUUAGGUGAACAAUAGGUAAGUAAAGAAACAAAACAACAGUAAAAAGACAGGCUAUAUACAGUAGCGAGGCUAUAAAGGUAGCGAGGCAACAUACAGACACCGGUUAGGCAGGCUGAUUGAGGUAGUAUGUACAUGUAGAUAUGAUUAAAGUGACUAUGCAUAUAUGAUGAACAGAGAGUAGCAGAAGUGUAAAAGAUCUGCUGAUUAUUUGUGAGGACAUAGGUAAAUAUGAACGAACCAGUCAGCACGUUAUAAAAUCCAUUAUAAUGCAGUUAUCAUAAGCAUGUAUGAUCUCUUCUCAUUUAAUCAGGCCCGUACAUGCUUAUAGCAAAUAAAGUAUUAAAACUGCGGGGUGUUAUAUUAUUAUAUCUACAGUACAUCAUAUUCUAGAUGCAAAUUCAUUGAAUUAAUUUGAUAUGAUUGCCACUUUACACCUCCCUUGAGACCAGGUUUUAGUUCCACUGUUCACUGAAGUGUGUGCAUCUGUGAGAAAUCAGUUGACAGUUGCAACAUCUGCCGGGGAAUUUAGUUGCUCCAGCUGUACAUACGUAAACCCAGUAUAAAUAAGUCUAGGGGGGGAGUUCACCGAUUUCUGACAUCUUUCAACCGUGUGGAGACGGCUCAUGAAACACAUGCCUUCCGAGGGGCUAAAACCUUGAUAAGACAAGGAGUCCAGGGACACUUGACUGAACAAUAUGGACCUCUGCUCAGUGUACUUCUAGUCUCAGAUAUAUAGUAUCUGCCGCCCCAGGGUCUGAUGGGUAUUUCCAUCACAGAGGGGGGAGGAUAAAAAGCAAAAGCUCGACAUGGAAACUCCCAACAAAUCCUGGAAAUGAGACAAAUAACCCACAGCCAGAACAGGAAAUUAGCCAGCAUGGAGAGUAACAAAGCAUCCUCUACCAAUGAAGAAAGAAUAGGAGGUCAUGCCAUAGACAUCAGUAGAGGGUGCGGAGGAGAGGACGGCUCAUAAUAAUGUCUGGAACGGAGCGAAUGGAAUGGCACCAAACCAUGUGUUUGAUGUAUUUGAUACCAUUCCACUCAUUCCGCUCCAGCCAUUAACACGAGCGUGUCCUCCCUAAUUAAGAUGCCACCAACCUCCUGUGAUAGACAUAGGCGGAGUUCCCCUACAGGACUUAGUCACCGCCUUGACACUCAUUGGGAGGUGUUCUGGAUUUCAACGGGGCGUAUGUUGGAUCACUUGUCAAGUUAAAAUAACUUAAGGGAAAGUUGGAAAUGUGGGAUCAAUAGGUUUUCUCAAUAGGAUCAAAAAGCAGGGAUGUGUAUCUAUCCAAGCCCCUAUGAAUUCCAUCUGAAUUACUGUAUCGCUCCAAGAGUGUCUAAGAGUGUGACUCAUCUCGGAAUUGGUUGACCUUUAGAGCAGGGUUCCCCAACUGGCGGUCAGUGGGUCGAAUUUGGGCCAGGGAUGGUUUCAUUUGGUCCUCCCAAGUUUUCUGAGCAAAAAAAAAAAAAUUUUUUACAUUUUCAUUGUUGGACAUAAAACUCCAGGAUAUCAGCUCCAAGUGAUUUUAAUUAAAUGAAUGAAAUCUGUUUAAAUUAUUCCCACGCAUAAUAGAGAGACGUGAUCGUAUACAAAUGUAAGCAACGUUUGAAAUUAUUAUGUUUUAGCCAGACAUUAUAUCGGUUUGGGCUUCUUGCAGUCAAUUUUCAGUCUACAAAUGAUUUGUAAUUCUGUUCCGGCCCCCUGACCAUCCUCUCAACAGAGUUAAUAAUCACUGCUCUAGAGUUAUGGAGGGAGUUUGUGUUUGGGAGGGCAGGGCUGAUAGUAAUUUCUGAAUGGCAUCCAGUGUUUGACUAUGAGAUCUCCUACACGAUAAACAACUAUCUGAUCUUAUCCGAGAGAAGCCAAUCAACUCUCACUGAUUCUCACUCUAGUUGGCGCAAUUGUGAACCUACGUACCAACUCACCAGUUCACCAGUUUUAUUAAUUGAUCAAUGUUUGGUUGCUAUAACAACUACACCGAGUGGCGCUGAUAGCUCAGUUGAAGCAUGAUGGGUUUGGUUCCCAUUUGCAUCACAUCUUUUAAACAUACAGGUCAGUGGAGGCGGCUGAGGGGACGACGGCUCACAAUAAUGGUUGGAACGGAGCGAAUGGAAUUAAGGUGCCACCAACCUCCUGUGAUACAGGCAUGCAUUUCAGUUGCCUUGAAUAAACCUGUCUCGUAAAAAGACAAUAUUUGUUAAUGAAUGUGUUUGCAACACUACUGUUAUUUGAUAUACUACUUACUAUUUACUUUUAUCCUUUCUUACAUUUGAACAGCUGAAGCAAGCACACAACCUUUCUUCAGAGCAGAGGGAAAGAAAAGGCCUAUCUCAGGGAGACAGACUAGCCAUAUCUCCAUUAGACACACAGCAUCUGGAAGUGAGCCCCUCUGGAAAACCACCUCUAUGAGGAAGUCCCAAAUGGCACCCAGUUGCCUAUGUAGUGCACUAAUUUUGACCAGGACUCAUUACAAGUAGUGCAGUAUAAAGGGAUUAGGGUUCCAUUUGGACAGAGGUGUGAAGUAACUAAUUACAGCUACUCUCGUUACUGUAAUUGACUAGCUUUUCCGAGUACUUAAACUUUGAAUAUUUUUGAAAGUCAGUAAUUUUACUUAUACUUGAGGAAAAUUGCAUUAUAGUAACAGUACUUCUAGUUGAGUAGGAUAUUUUAGUACUCUUAAAAGAUACAUUUUGUGAGUGAGGGACUGAGUGAGUGAAGGAAAGAGUGUGAAUGGGGGAGUGAGUGAAUAUCGGAAGGGACCCUGGACAAGUAACAAGUAACAGGGGGGGGAAUGAGGGAUUGAAUAAGUGAAAAAAUUUGACAUGUUUAUUUAUGGAGUCUGUAUAUAUACUGUAUAUAGAAGUCUGGCAACUUUGUUUAUUAACUUUAUUUUGUAUAUAUUUUUUACCAAUACAUCUUCAUUGCUUUGAAUGUUUAAGUUGACAAAUGUAUAUUUUUAGUAUAUUUUUGACAAAUCCUUCGUUUUCACGCGCCUUGCUGCAACUCAUAAAAUAAAUUAAAACGUAGUUCUUACUGUA